This 808-nucleotide ribosomal RNA is filed under the name uncultured bacterium. RNAcentral's name for it is "bacterial SSU rRNA". It matches the Rfam family "Bacterial small subunit ribosomal RNA", at positions 1 to 791 of the family's 1533-position model. The record is from RNAcentral.
UAGAGUUCGUUCCUGGCUCAGAAUGAACGCUGGCGGCGUGCCUAACACAUGCAAGUCGUACGAGAAAGACUGUUUUCGGAUGGUCGAGUAAAGUAGCGCACGGGUGAGUAACGCGUAGGUAACCUACCCUUGUAUUGGGGAUAACAGGACGAAAGUUCUGCUAAUACCGGAUGUGACCUGGGGCUGGAGGGUUUCAGGUUAAAGUGGGCCUCUCGAAGAAGCUCAUGUACAGGGAUGGGCCUGCGUCCUAUCAGCUUGUUGGUGGGGUAAUGGCCUACCAAGGCGACGACGGGUAGCUGGUCUGAGAGGAUGAUCAGCCACACUGGCACUGGAACACGGGCCAGACUCCUACGGGAGGCAGCAGUGAGGAAUUUUGCGCAAUGGGAGCAAUCCUGACGCAGCAACGCCGCGUGGGUGAAGAAGGCCUUCGGGUCGUAAAGCCCUGUCAGGUGGGAAGAAGGGUCCUAUCAGGAAAGGGGUGGGAUUUGACGGUACCACCAGAGGAAGCACCGGCUAACUCCGUGCCAGCAGCCGCGGUAAUACGGAGGGUGCGAGCGUUAUUCGGAAUUACUGGGCGUAAAGCGCGUGUAGGCGGGGGAGCAAGUCUGAUGUGAAAGCCCCGGGCUUAACCCGGGAAGUGCAUUGGAAACUGUUUUUCUUGAGUACUGGAGAGGAAGGGGGAAUUCCCGGUGUAGAGGUGAAAUUCGUAGAGAUCGGGAGGAAUACCAGUGGCGAAGGCGCCCUUCUGGACGGUUACUGACGCUGAGACGCGAAAGCGUGGGGAGCAAACAGGAUUAGAUACCCUGGU